AACGAACGCUGGCGGCAGGCUUAACACAUGCAAGUCGAGCGCCUCGCAAGAGAAGCGGCCGACGGGUGAGUAGCGCGUGGGAACGUACCCUUAUCUUCGGAAUAGCUCUGGGAGACUGGAAGUAAUACCGAAUGUGCCCUUAGGGGGAAAGAUUUAUCGGAUAAGGAUCGGCCCGCGUUGGAUUAGCUGGUUGGUGGGGUAAAGGCCUACCAAGGCGACGAUCCAUAGCUGGUCAGAGAGGAAGAUCAGACACAUUGGGACGGAGACACGGCCCAGACUCUUACGCGAGGCAGGAGUGGGGAAUAGUGGACAAUGGGCGCAAGCCUGAUCCAGCCAUGACGCGUGAGUGAUGAAGGCCGUAGGGUUGUAAAGCGCUAUCACCGGAGAAGAUAAUGACGGUAUCCGGAGAAGAAGCCCCGGCUAACUUCGUG
RNAcentral lists this ribosomal RNA (431 nucleotides) under uncultured bacterium. RNAcentral describes it as "partial 16S ribosomal RNA". It matches the Rfam family "Bacterial small subunit ribosomal RNA", at positions 29 to 507 of the family's 1533-position model. The record is from RNAcentral.